This 230-nucleotide unclassified non-coding RNA is filed under the name Hevea brasiliensis (rubber tree). Lineage: Eukaryota; Viridiplantae; Streptophyta; Magnoliopsida; Malpighiales; Euphorbiaceae. The record is from RNAcentral.
UGCCGAGCAGGAACUUGGCGUAAUCCCAGCCCUUGUUUUCCUGACCGACCAGAUUGGCGACCGGCACUUCGACGUCGUCGAAGAACACUUCGUUGACCUCAAAGCCGCCGUCGAUGGUCUGGAUCGGGCGCACGGUGAUGCCGCGCGACUUCAUGUCGAUCAGGAUGAAUGAGAUGCCCUCCUGCUUCUUCGCUUCCGGAUUGGUGCGGCACAGGCAGAAAAUCCAGUCA